AUUGAACGCUGGCGGCAUGCCUUACACAUGCAAGUCGAACGGUAACGGGCCUUCGGGUGCCGACGAGUGGCGAACGGGUGCGUAAUACAUCGGAACGUGCCCGAUCGUGGGGGAUAACGAGGCGAAAGCUUUGCUAAUACCGCAUACGAUCUACGGAUGAAAGCAGGGGACCGCAAGGCCUUGCGCGGACGGAGCGGCCGAUGGCAGAUUAGGUAGUUGGUGGGAUAAAAGCUUACCAAGCCGACGAUCUGUAGCUGGUCUGAGAGGAUGAUCAGCCACACUGGGACUGAGACACGGCCCAGACUCCUACGGGAGGCAGCAGUGGGGAAUUUUGGACAAUGGGCGCAAGCCUGAUCCAGCCAUGCCGCGUGCAGGAUGAAGGCCCUCGGGUUGUAAACUGCUUUUGUACGGAACGAAAAGCCUUCUUUUAAUACAGGAGGGUCAUGACGGUACCGUAAGAAUAAGCACCGGCUAACUACGUG
This 482-nucleotide ribosomal RNA is filed under the name uncultured bacterium. RNAcentral's name for it is "partial 16S ribosomal RNA". It matches the Rfam family "Bacterial small subunit ribosomal RNA", at positions 30 to 507 of the family's 1533-position model. The record is from RNAcentral.